RNAcentral lists this ribosomal RNA (478 nucleotides) under uncultured bacterium. RNAcentral's name for it is "partial 16S ribosomal RNA". It matches the Rfam family "Bacterial small subunit ribosomal RNA", at positions 28 to 507 of the family's 1533-position model. The record is from RNAcentral.
GAUGAACGCUGGCGGCGUGCCUAACACAUGCAAGUCGAACGGAGUCCAGCCUUUAAGACCUUCGGGUCAAAGAGGGGAAGACUGAGUGGCGGACGGGUGAGUAACACGUGGGCAACCUGGCUCAUAGAGGGGGAUAACAGAGAGAAAUUUCUGCUAAUACCGCAUAAGCACACACUGCCGCAUGGCAGAGGGUGAAAAGAGAAUCGCUAUGAGAUGGACCCGCGUCUGAUUAGCCAGUUGGCAGGGUAAGAGCCUACCAAAGCGACGUUCAGUAGCCGAUCUGGGGGGAUGCACGGCCACAUUGGGACUGAGACACGGCCCAAACUCCGACGGGAGGGAGCAGUGGGGGAUAUUGCACAAUGGGGGGAACCCUGAUGCAGCGACGCCGGGUGAGUGAAGAAGUAUGUCGGUAUGUAAAGCUCUAUCAGCAGGGAAGAUAAUGACAGUACCUGAAAAAGAAGCCCCGGCUAACUACGUG